Oncorhynchus kisutch (coho salmon) is the source of this 62-nucleotide microRNA precursor. The record is from Ensembl. Lineage: Eukaryota; Metazoa; Chordata; Actinopteri; Salmoniformes; Salmonidae.
UGAUUGUCCAAACGCAAUUCUUGUGUCUGCCUCCAUGAAACCAGGAGUUGUGGAUGGACAUC